CACCAGCGCCACAAGUGGGGGCCGCGAUUAUUGGGCCUAAAGCGUCCGUAGCCGGUUGAGUAAAUCUCUUGUGAAAUCGAUCAGCUUAACUGAUCGGCGUGCAGGGGAGACUGCUCGACUAGGGACCGGGAGGAGUUAGGGGUAUUCCUUGGGGAGCGGUAAAAUGCUAUAAUCCUUGGAAGACCACCUGUGGCGAAGGCGCCUAACCAGAACGGGUCCGACGGUGAGGGACGAAAGCUAGGGGAGCAAUCCG
Molecule: ribosomal RNA, 253 nt
Filed under: uncultured archaeon
Lineage: Archaea
Description: partial 16S ribosomal RNA
Rfam family: Archaeal small subunit ribosomal RNA
Source: RNAcentral